AACGCGAAGAACCUUACCUGGGCUCGAAAUGUACAGGACAGCGGUAGAAAUAUCGUCUCCCAGCAAUGGGUCUGUAUAUAGGUGCUGCAUGGCUGUCGUCAGCUCGUGUCGUGAGAUGUUGGGUUAAGUCCCGCAACGAGCGCAACCCUUAUCUUCAGUUGCUACCAUUUAGUUGAGCACUCUGACGAAACCGCCUCGGAUAACGGGGAGGAAGGUGGGGAUGACGUCAAGUCCUCAUGGCCUUUAUGUCCAGGGCUACACACGUGCUACAAUGGCCGGUACAAACCGCUGCAAACCCGCGAGGGGGAGCUAAUCGGAGAAAGCCGGCCUCAGUUCGGAUUGGAGUCUGCAACUCGACUCCAUGAAGCUGGAAUCGCUAGUAAUCGUGGAUCAGCAUGCCACGGUGAAUACGUUCCCGGGCCUUGUACACACCGCGCAUA
Molecule: ribosomal RNA, 440 nt
Filed under: uncultured bacterium
Lineage: Bacteria
Description: bacterial SSU rRNA
Rfam family: Bacterial small subunit ribosomal RNA
Source: RNAcentral